GACGAACGCUGGCGGCGUGCCUAAUACAUGCAAGUAGAACGCUGGAGGAGGAGCUUGCUCUUCUGGAUGAGUUGCGAACGGGUGAGUAACGCGUAGGUAACCUGCCUGGUAGCGGGGGAUAACUAUUGGAAACGAUAGCUAAUACCGCAUAAGAGUAGAUGUUGCAUGACAUUUGCUUAAAAGGUGCAAUUGCAUCACUACCAGAUGGACCUGCGUUGUAUUAGCUAGUUGGUGGGGUAACGGCUCACCAAGGCGACGAUACAUAGCCGACCUGAGAGGGUGAUCGGCCACACUGGGACUGAGACACGGCCCAGACUCCUACGGGAGGCAGCAGUAGGGAAUCUUCGGCAAGGGACGGAAGUCUGACCGAGCAACGCCGCGUGAGUGAAGAAGGUUUUCGGAUCGUAAAGCUCUGUUGUAAGAGAAGAACGAGUGUGAGAGUGGAAAGUUCACACUGUGACGGUAUCUUACCAGAAAGGGACGGCUAACUACGUG
RNAcentral lists this ribosomal RNA (495 nucleotides) under uncultured bacterium. Its description in RNAcentral is "partial 16S ribosomal RNA". It matches the Rfam family "Bacterial small subunit ribosomal RNA", at positions 28 to 507 of the family's 1533-position model. The record is from RNAcentral.